Molecule: transfer RNA, 73 nt
Filed under: Phycisphaerae bacterium
Lineage: Bacteria; Pseudomonadati; Planctomycetota; Phycisphaerae
Description: tRNA-Met
Rfam family: tRNA
About the family: Transfer RNA (tRNA) molecules are approximately 80 nucleotides in length. Their secondary structure includes four short double-helical elements and three loops (D, anti-codon, and T loops).
Source: RNAcentral
UGCGGGGUGGAGCAGUUGGUAGCUCGCGAGGCUCAUAACCUCGAGGUCACUGGUUCGAGUCCAGUCCCCGCUA